UUCCGGUUGAUCCCGCCGGACCUGACUGCUAUCGGAUUGAUACUAAGCCAUGCGAGUCUUUGUAGUAAUACAAGGCAGACGGCUCAGUAACACGUAGUCAACCUACCCUAUGGACGAGAAUAAUCUCGGGAAACUGAGCAUAAUUCUCGGUAGAUCAUAAUGCCUGGAAUGGUUUAUGGUUAAAAUGAUUCUUCGCCAUAGGAUGGGACUGCGGCCUAUCAGCUUGUUGGUGAGGUAAUGGCCCACCAAGGCGAUUACAGGUACGGGCUCUGAGAGGAGAAGCCCGGAGAUGGGUACUGAGACACGGACCCAGGCCCUAUGGGGCGCAGCAGGCGAGAAAACUUUGCAAUGUGCGAAAGCACGACAAGGUUAAUCCGAGUGAUUUCUGCUAAAGAAAUCUUUUGCCAGUCAUAAAACCACUGGUGAAUAAGGGGUGGGCAAGUUCUGGUGUCAGCCGCCGCGGUAAAACCAGCACCUCAAGUGGUCAGGAUGAUUAUUGGGCCUAAAGCAUCCGUAGCCGGCUUUGUUAGUUUUCGGUUAAAUCCAUGUGCUCAACGCAUGGGCUGCCGAAAAUACUGCAGGGCUAGGGAGUGGGAGAGGUAGACGGUACUCAGUAGGAAGGGGUAAAAUCCUUUGAUCUAUUGAUGACCACCUGUGGCGAAGGCGGUCUACCAGAACACGUUCGACGGUGAGGGAUGAAAGCUGGGGGAGCAAACCGGAUUAGAUACCCGGGUAGUCCCAGCUGUAAACGAUGCAGACUCGAUGAUGCAUUGGCAUAUAGCCAGUGCAGUGUCGCAGGGAAGCCGUUAAGUCUGCCGCCUGGGAAGUACGUACGCAAGUAUGAAACUUAAAGGAAUUGGCGGGGGAGCACCACAAGGGGUGAAGCCUGCGGUUCAAUUGGAGUCAACGCCGGG
RNAcentral lists this ribosomal RNA (914 nucleotides) under uncultured marine archaeon. RNAcentral's name for it is "bacterial SSU rRNA". It matches the Rfam family "Archaeal small subunit ribosomal RNA", at positions 1 to 922 of the family's 1478-position model. The record is from RNAcentral.